Bemisia tabaci is the source of this 1581-nucleotide non-coding RNA. The record is from RefSeq and is a predicted model, not a curated record. NCBI's taxonomy places the organism in Eukaryota, Metazoa, Arthropoda, Insecta, Hemiptera, Aleyrodidae.
GUAUGGGGAUUCUUUCAAACUUUUAUGGGCAACCUAACCUAUUAACGUAACUUUUCUGAUAAUCGGUCAGAUGUGAGAGAAGGGAGAAAUGAGAAAUUGACUUUAAAAAGAGGGUAAUACUUGAAACGGUACAUGGUAAGAUACGCAACUCAGGAUGAUUAACGCACGGUUCAUUAACGAGUGUUGCAACCUCUCUUCGCUUGCUUGCAUAAAUUCUAAUCUGUAGUUUGGUAAGGUUUUCGCUUGCGUAAAAGAGUGAUAACCGAAAGGGGCACAUAAUUUGUCGACGAUUCUUCCAGGUGCAUUGUGCUUUCCUCCCAGAGCGAGAAGAACAAUGAGCUCCUCGAGGUGCUCCUUAGCGACACGAAUGGUGCCCCCCCCCCCGUUGACGUCAUCGACGUAAACAGACUCCAGGAGAAUUCUGGCUGCGUUGGGAUAUUCAUGUCCGUGAUCCCUGGUCGAUAUCAAAAAAGUAAAAAAAUUAAAAACUCGAUCAUUCUGCCGGAAGUUGCGGAAAAUGCAGAUAAAGACGAAAAUGAUCCUGAACCAAAACCUAGAAAAGUCGCCUCCACCCAGCAGAUCAGUCAAAAGAUGCGCCCAGCGAAUCGAAUCUUCAUCUUCUGCAGGGUAAGAUGAUAAUCAAAAAGAUACACAGACGGAGAGCCAAAUAAACAAGAAUGAACGAGCAACAUCAACACCACGCUCAAAAAGCAACACAAAAAAACCUACGCGGAUCAAAUUAUCCACCUCCUCUUCGGACGAAAACCAUCAUGAAAAAGGGUCGGAGCCGCUCCUCGCACAGCAUGCUGGAGGAAUCGGAUAGAUAAAUCAGGAGUCGUUCAAACUAGAGUACCUUUAUAGUUCAAACUGUUACCCCUCCAUAGCAGACUUGGACUUCUUUAUCAACCGUAGAUGAUGGCAUACGUAUUGUGAUGUUCACGAUCCCUGUUUUGUUUUUCUUCUUCGUAAUUUUCUUAAGUACCUAUAAUCUACCUUUUUAUCCUGUAAUGUUCUUACUUUAACAUUAUACCUAAUUCUGUUUACCUUUUUCACACCACCUGUCAUGGCUAAGCUUACCCAGCUGUGGUCCCUAAUCUUAGGCGUAUGCUCCACCCAGCAUCUUUCUACUAAUUUUUCAUUACCCCAUACGAACCCCAUACUUCUCUCAGAACUUUGUGUGGCCUAAAAACAUGUAUUACAAGAAAAGUAUAGUACUUCUUGUUUUUAUUAAUCGCCUACUUUUUUCUCAGUUUAGUUCAUCAUUUCCUGAAUAAAAAAAUUUGUUACGUACAUCUUAUCUGUGGCAGAAAUUACUGCCGAUAGGCGGGGAGGGGGUAUCUUGCUCAUAGAAAAAGAACAACAAAAAAUAAAAAUCAACGGUUAACUUGCUCACAUGCGGAUCUCGUUUGCAGUACCUAAGUUAAAAUCUCUGCUCAAAUACUAUUUUUUUAAAAGGGAGUGGACGAACAUUGCUUGAAAUUUUCACAGAAUAUUCUUUACUCUCACAAGAAGAAUCAGGGCACUUAUCAUCGCUUGAGAUUGAGAAUCCUACCAUUUAGGACAUACAUAACUAGGGGGCUA